This 715-nucleotide long non-coding RNA is filed under the name Brachypodium distachyon (stiff brome). RNAcentral describes it as "long non-coding RNA (BDIS_LNC005141)". The record is from RNAcentral. Lineage: Eukaryota; Viridiplantae; Streptophyta; Magnoliopsida; Poales; Poaceae.
ACAUCAUACAGUAUUGAAUUGAGCUUUAGAUGGACGUGAAACUUUAUUUUUUGUAAACUAGCAUUGAAACUUUUUGAAGUUCUCAUACAGUAUUGAAUCGAGCUUCAGAUGGCGUGAAACGGUGGCUCCUGGCCUUGCAAUGGCCGAGCCAAGUUGUUUAUAACUGGUACUUUUAUUUUUUGUAAGAAGUUCAUACUACUUGGUAUACUUGCUCUGACUAAGACUCCACCUAAGCGCUGAGGUUAGCUGCCGGCAUGCAGCAAGGCGCCAGCAUACGCUUCAUGUGCGAACUUUCAGGUGGGCAAAGCCGGCCCGGCGAGGUCGAGCCCGGAAAGGGGAACUAGAAGACUGAAGAAACAGACUGGUAGAUUGUGCCAAGAAGAUGAGUCCAGGUCUACGAAAGGACCAGGAAAAUCAUUAAUAACGAACUAACUAAAAACAUCAUUUAGCGGUGAGAAUAAAAAUUACGGCUCAAUCUAAAAAAAACAAUAAAAAAUUACAGUGUGAGAUAGGGUCAUCGUGGACUAGAGAAUGGGCCUAGUCAGUGUAAUCUCUCGGGAAGCCUAGAUGGGCCUACCGAAAGCCACCUGAUCAGCUGGCCCGGCUUAGCGUUCCUCUCAAAAAAGAAAAAAGCUGGCCCGGCUUAGACAUAAACAUGAAAGAGAAGAAUCAAAAGCCCACCGCAACAAACGAGUCCCGUACAGACCGUAUACCC